This 253-nucleotide ribosomal RNA is filed under the name uncultured bacterium. RNAcentral's name for it is "partial 16S ribosomal RNA". It matches the Rfam family "Bacterial small subunit ribosomal RNA", at positions 524 to 776 of the family's 1533-position model. The record is from RNAcentral.
UACAUAGGGGGCGAGCGUUAUCCGGAAUUAUUGGGCGUAAAGCGUGCGUAGGCGGUUUAUUAAGUCUGGUGUGAAAUCCUAUAGCUUAACUAUAGUGGGUCAUUGGAAACUGGUAAACUUGAGUGCGGUAGAGGUAAGUGGAAUUCCAAGUGGAGCGGUGGAAUGCGUAGAUAUUUGGAGGAACACCAGUGGCGAAGGCGGCUUACUGGGCCGUAACUGACGCUGAUGCACGAAAGCGUGGGGAGCAAACAGG